CAGCGACCAUACCAUGCUGAAUAUACCGGUUCUCGUUAGAUCACCGAAGUCAAGCAUUAUUGGGCGUGGUCAGUACUUGGGUGGGUGACCACCUGGGAACACCGCGUGCCGUU
RNAcentral lists this ribosomal RNA (113 nucleotides) under Caerostris darwini. Lineage: Eukaryota; Metazoa; Arthropoda; Arachnida; Araneae; Araneidae. The record is from RNAcentral.